AGUUGGCUAUGAAGAUUUAUAUACAGCUUUUUAUGCCAGUUCUGCUUCAGAGAAUUCUUGAUUGAGAAGCUGAUUUGUUGUCUGAGCCUCUC
Gossypium hirsutum (cotton) is the source of this 92-nucleotide non-coding RNA. The record is from Rfam. NCBI's taxonomy places the organism in Eukaryota, Viridiplantae, Streptophyta, Magnoliopsida, Malvales, Malvaceae.